CUGAAUAACUCUGCCGAUCGCACGGUCUCGCACCGGCGACGUAUCUUUCAAGUGUCUGCCUUAUCAACUUUCGAUGGUAGUUUAUGUGCCUACCAUGGUUGUAACGGGUAACGGAGAAUAAGGGUUCGACUCCGGAGAGGGAGCCUGAGAAACGGCUACCACAUCCAAGGAAGGCAGCAGGCGCGCAAAUUACCCACUCUCGGCACGAGGAGGUAGUGACGAAAAAUAACGAGACGGAUCUCUUUGAGGCCCGUUAUCGGAAUGAGAACAAUUCAAAUCCUUUAGCGAGGAUCUAGCGGAGGGCAAGUCUGGUGCCAGCAGCCGCGGUAAUUCCAGCUCCGCAGGUGUAUAUCUAUGCUGCUGCGGUUAAAAAG
RNAcentral lists this ribosomal RNA (374 nucleotides) under Nematoda sp. Its description in RNAcentral is "SSU rRNA". It matches the Rfam family "Eukaryotic small subunit ribosomal RNA", at positions 252 to 626 of the family's 1831-position model. Lineage: Eukaryota; Metazoa; Nematoda. The record is from RNAcentral.